Molecule: unclassified non-coding RNA, 520 nt
Filed under: uncultured Glomus
Lineage: Eukaryota; Fungi; Glomeromycota; Glomeromycetes; Glomerales; Glomeraceae
Description: SSU rRNA
Rfam family: Eukaryotic small subunit ribosomal RNA
Source: RNAcentral
AGCAGCCGCGGUAAUUCCAGCUCCAAUAGCAUAUAUUAAAGUUGUUGCAGUUAAAAAGCUCGUAGUUGAAUUUCGGGGUUAGCAGGUCGGUCGUGCCAUCGGUAUGAACUGGUCUUGCUGAUCCCUCCCUCUUGACGAACUGUGAUGCCAUUAAUUUGGUGUCGCAGGGAAUCAGGACUGUUACUUUGAAAAAAUUAGAGUGUUUAAAGCAGGCUCACGCUUGAAUACAUUAGCAUGGAAUAAUGAAAUAGGAUGUUUGAUCCUAUUUUGUUGGCUUCUAGGAUUGACGUAAUGAUUAAUAGGGAUAGUUGGGGGCAUUAGUAUUCAAUUGUCAGAGGUGAAAUUCUUGGAUUUAUUGAGGACUAACUACUGCGAAAGCAUUUGCCAAGGAUGUUUUCAUUAAUCAAGAACGAAAGUUAGGAGAUCGAAGACGAUCAGAUACCGUCGUAGUCUUAACCAUAAACUAUGCCGACUAGGGAUCGGAUGAUGUUAAUUUUUUAAUGACUCAUUCGGUGCCUUA